GGAGAAGUGGCUGAGAGGUCGAAAGCGCAUGCCUGGAAAGCAUGUAUACAUGAACAAAUGUAUCGAGGGUUCGAAUCCCUCCUUGUCCG
Molecule: transfer RNA, 89 nt
Filed under: Wolbachia endosymbiont of Howardula sp.
Lineage: Bacteria; Pseudomonadati; Pseudomonadota; Alphaproteobacteria; Rickettsiales; Anaplasmataceae
Description: tRNA-Ser
Rfam family: tRNA
About the family: Transfer RNA (tRNA) molecules are approximately 80 nucleotides in length. Their secondary structure includes four short double-helical elements and three loops (D, anti-codon, and T loops).
Source: RNAcentral